Molecule: ribosomal RNA, 549 nt
Filed under: uncultured bacterium
Lineage: Bacteria
Description: bacterial SSU rRNA
Rfam family: Bacterial small subunit ribosomal RNA
Source: RNAcentral
GGGGAAUCUUCCGCAAUGGACGAAAGUCUGACGGAGCAACGCCGCGUCAGUGAUGACGGCCUUCGGGUUGUAAAGCUCUGUUAAUCGGGACGAAAGGCCUUCUUGCGAAUAGUGAGAAGGAUUGACGGUACCGGAAUAGAAAGCCACGGCUAACUACGUGCCAGCAGCCGCGGUAAUACGUAGGUGGCAAGCGUUGUCCGGAAUUAUUGGGCGUAAAGCGCGCGCAGGCGGAUCGGUCAGUCUGUCUUAAAAGUUCGGGGCUUAACCCCGUGAUGGGAUGGAAACUGCCAAUCUAGAGUAUCGGAGAGGAAAGUGGAAUUCCUAGUGUAGCGGUGAAAUGCGUAGAUAUUAGGAAGAACACCAGUGGCGAAGGCGACUUUCUGGACGAAAACUGACGCUGAGGCGCGAAAGCCAGGGGAGCGAACGGGAUUAGAUACCCCGGUAGUCCUGGCCGUAAACGAUGGGUACUAGGUGUAGGAGGUAUCGACCCCUUCUGUGCCGGAGUUAACGCAAUAAGUACCCCGCCUAGGGAGUACGACCGCAAGGUUG